Ribosomal RNA from Carya illinoinensis, 120 nucleotides. The record is from RefSeq and is a predicted model, not a curated record. Lineage: Eukaryota; Viridiplantae; Streptophyta; Magnoliopsida; Fagales; Juglandaceae.
GGGUGCGAUCCUACCAGCACUAAUGCACCGGAUCCCAUCAGAACUCCGCAGUUAAGCGUGCUUGGGCGAGAGUAGUACUAGGAUGGGGUGACCUCCUGGGAAGUCCUCGUGUUGCACCCC